Molecule: long non-coding RNA, 914 nt
Organism: Podarcis muralis (Common wall lizard)
Lineage: Eukaryota; Metazoa; Chordata; Lepidosauria; Squamata; Lacertidae
Source: RefSeq, a predicted model, not a curated record
AAGUGUGAUCCUGUCCUCUGGGGUGUUAGCCACCCCUCCCAGUUUGGUGUCAUCUGCAAAUUUGAUCAGGAUUUAAUGUAUUUCAAUUUCUAUUAUUGUCAGCUGAUGAAGAAUCAUUAUUGAAACAGUUCGUUAUCCGGAAAAACUGUUCUAUGUUCGGAGCACCUGUCACCGCAUAUUUGCAGGAUUUUGAAUGUUGAAAGGCAUUUUGCCUCCAUCUCAGUGUUCCCUGAUACUGACCAACUACGCCUUCUAUUUUUGUUCAUUGAACAUUUAUUUGACUUCUAUUAUUUGUGACACUCAUAUAUUUUCUGUUUAUGAAUUGUGUAUAUAUACUUUAACACAUUAUUAGCCACGUGUUGCUUGGGGUUUUUCUAGAGGAAUAUAGACAGAUUCCACUACUAGUGCCUUCUGAAUUCUUUGUGCCUGCUGUUGAUCCAACCAUUUUAGGAACAUAAGAAGUUGCCUUAUACAAAGUCAGGCCAUUGGUCCAUCAAGCUCAGUAUUAUCUCUUCUGAUUGGCAGUGUCUCUCCAAGGACUCAGAUAAGAGUUUUUCCCUCGCCCUACUUAUAAGCAUCAGAGAUUGAAGCUGGGGGUUUCUGCAUUCAAACACAUGAACCAGCCGAUGAAGAAUUAUCAUUGAAACAGUUCAUUAUCCUGGAAGAACUGUUCUGUUUGCAGCUGUGCUCGGAGUACCCUACUUCUAUGUUUGGAACACAUAUCUAGGAUAUUGACUGUGGAAAGGCUUUUUGCCUCCAUAUUAAUGAUCUUGGACAGUGACUUACCACUCCUACUAUUCUUGUUUAUGGAACAUUUAUUUGAUACCUAUUAUUUGUGACUCCAUGCACAUAUUAUACAUCUGUUUAUGAAUUUUUGAAACAGUAUAAUAUUAUAAAGAUUUUGUUAGUAUUUA